Molecule: long non-coding RNA, 534 nt
Filed under: Rattus norvegicus (Norway rat)
Lineage: Eukaryota; Metazoa; Chordata; Mammalia; Rodentia; Muridae
Description: long non-coding RNA NONRATT025104
Source: RNAcentral
UUUACCGACCUGAAGGAUGAAAAAGAGGCACCCAUUCCUGCCUGCCUGCCGCUUACCACUUUCCAGCUGCCAAAGCAGCUGCAUGGGAAGCAAGCCUGAAACAGAAGGAACAGGACCAAAGAGAUCUGUAGACGAGGGCGGCAGAAUAGCUUCACCACCAUCUUGCAUUCUUGGAUACCAGGCUUCGACUCUAUCCGACCUACAGUCUACGCCCAGGCCCACCCGCAGGUCACCGUGCCUCUCCCAGCACCCUUUGCAAGAGUACAAAAUUUAAAAGCUGCAGUUUGCCGGGGCAGGGGCGACAUGGACAGAGAUUUUUUUCCCUUAACCUAUGUGAGCAAGUCGUUUUAAUUUUCCGAGUCAAGACGCCCCAUCCGGGAAAUGGACACGUUGACAAUAUCCAAAGACAUCUGGAGAGCCAGAAUUUAGUGACCGAGCCAGAGCCACAGCUAACACUGGAACAGAAGAUCCCCUGACAACGAACAACAAUAACAUCGCUUCUAAGAACUCCAGCAUCAAGGGUUUUGAAAGUGA